GCCUCAAAGAGGGGGACAAUAGUUGGAAACGACUGCUAAUACCGCAUAAGCCCACGGCUCGGCAUCGAGCAGAGGGAAAAGGAGCAGUCCGCUUUGAGAUGGCCUCGCGUCCGAUUAGCUAGUUGGUGAGGUAAUGGCCCACCAAGGCAACGAUCGGUAGCCGGACUGAGAGGUUGAACGGCCACAUUGGGACUGAGACACGGCCCAGACUCCUACGGGAGGCAGCAGUGGGGAAUAUUGCACAAUGGGGGAAACCCUGAUGCAGCGACGCCGCGUGGAGGAAGAAGGUCUUCGGAUUGUAAACUCCUGUUGUUGAGGAAGAUAAUGACGGUACUCAACAAGGAAGUGACGGCUAACUACGUGCC
Molecule: ribosomal RNA, 365 nt
Filed under: uncultured bacterium
Lineage: Bacteria
Description: bacterial SSU rRNA
Rfam family: Bacterial small subunit ribosomal RNA
Source: RNAcentral